CGCUGCGGACGCUUACACCUGCAGUCGAACGAAGUAGCAAUACUUAGUGGCAGACGGGUGAGUACAUGUGGGUAUCUGCCCUUUGGCCUGGAAUAACACGAGGAAACUUGUGCUAAUACCGGAUAAGUCUUUACGGAGAAAGCUUUAUGCACCAUUGGAUGAGCCCCGGCCACUUGAUUAGUUUGUUGGUGGGGUAAUGGCCUACCAAGACUGUGAUCAAUAGCUGAUUUGAGAGGAUGAUCAGCCACAUUGGGACUGAGACACGGCCCAGACUCCUACGGGAGGCAGCAGUGGGGAAUAUUGCACAAUGGGCGAAAGCCUGAUGCAGCAACGCCGCGUGCGGGAUGAAGGCCCUAGGGUUGUAAACCGCUUUCAGCAGGGAAGAAAAUGACGGUACCUGUAGAAGAAGGUGCGGCCAACUACGUGCCAGCAGCCGCGGUGACACGUAGGCACCAAGCGUUGUCCGGAUUUAUUGGGCGUAAAGAGCUCGUAGGCGGUUCAGUAAGUCGGGUGUGAAAACUCUGGGCUCAACCCAGGGACGCCACCCGAUACUGCUGUGACUAGAGUGCGGUAGGGGAGCGGGGAAUUCCUAGUGUAGCGGUGAAUGCG
RNAcentral lists this ribosomal RNA (609 nucleotides) under uncultured Alphaproteobacteria bacterium. RNAcentral describes it as "bacterial SSU rRNA". It matches the Rfam family "Bacterial small subunit ribosomal RNA", at positions 34 to 690 of the family's 1533-position model. Lineage: Bacteria; Pseudomonadati; Pseudomonadota; Alphaproteobacteria. The record is from RNAcentral.